This 98-nucleotide small RNA is filed under the name Leptospira meyeri. RNAcentral describes it as "Flavo-1 RNA". It matches the Rfam family "Flavo-1 RNA". Lineage: Bacteria; Pseudomonadati; Spirochaetota; Leptospiria; Leptospirales; Leptospiraceae. The record is from RNAcentral.
GAAACGCCACCGAUUGCAGCGGAAAUCCUUUCUGGUUUAAAUUCGUGUUUGGUAAAGGAAUCCAUUCAGAAAGAUUGGAGCGGAAAGCGGGAUCGCCU